GGGUGCUCAUGGUGGCCUCCAAAUAAAUACAUGGACAGGCUGCUAAAGAGGGUCAGGAUGAUGGAGAUGCAAGAGCCAAAGACAGCACGGACCAAACACCAGGCCAGAAUUCUGCAUGAGUCAGCUGUAAAAAACAAAAGAAUGAAACAGUACCUGCAUUUUAGUUUCCAGCCUUUUUCACAAAGUUGCCGACAACUGGAAGAAUGUCCCAAAUUGCUGAAAAAAGAAAUUCAAUUGAGUAAUUUUCACUCUAGAGACCCUGGGGUGACCACCAAGGACGAAUGAAAACUCCAGUGAGUGUCUCUAAGGUAGAUCCUAAUGUAGAUGGAUGGAAUGUUGAUCCGCCUAACAUGCAAGAUUUUCUGUACCGAGAACUUUGGAUGACCAUCAAGACAAUCACUCGUUUUGAGUCCUGAGACCCUGGGGUGACCACCGUGAACAAAUACAGACUGCAAAAAGGCAGUCUUGACGGUUCUAGGAUGAAUGCAAAUAAAGACUGACCACCUGACUUCAGCGGUCCAGUCUCUUGUGGGAAGCAGCUGUUUGUUACCCCAAAUACGGAUGAAGAGUGACGAAGAGGAUGAUGACUUUUUUUCUCAAACAUCAUCUGAAGAUCUUGACAGGCUGGAGACAAAAUGAACAGACUGAGGGUUUAUACAAAGAAUCUUACUCAGCCAAUAUUAAAGAUAAGAUAUUUUUACAAAAUGUUAUUUUCAUUGUUUAGGAUGAUUUUAUGUAGAAAACAAUACAUCACAAAAAAGACUUUAGCUGGGUUUACACAGGCAGUGCCUUACACACACACUAACCACAAUUAUAAACGCAACACUAACACAGAUUUAGACAGAUUUGUGAAUAAUAUUUGAGAGAAAUAGGCCUUUUGGGGACAUAGAAAAUAUUUAAGUUCAGCUCAUGAAAUGAAAAAUGGGGGCAAACAUUUUUUUUAACAAGUGCAAUACAAAUAUCAACCAUAAUACUGAUCGUUUUAAAAAAAAGUAAGUCACUAUAUCUUUCUAGAAUCUUACACAAGACUCAGUUACAUGAACGAUCAAAAUAAAUUAACGUCAGACAGGUGGGCGAAAUAUCAAUAUUAAAGCAUGAAUAACUGUUAUCAACCCAAUUUCAAUGUAUUAUUUAAAUGAUCCCACACCAAACAGUUUAUUAUUUAAAUGCAUUAUUACUACAUACCUUAAGCAUGUGUUCCACGCCUUUCUUCUUCUUGGCGUUGCGAGGUCAAGCGGAUGUUGUUAUGUAGAAUCACGACCUUGACGUAAAGACGCACAUCCGUAAUUUAUUUAACAAUGAUAACACUUUCGGGAAAUUUUAUCUUCUAGAUCCUAAUUAAAGCUAUAAAGAAAGAGCAGCCUAUCACGAUUAUUUCCUGGUAAGUUUUUGAAAUGUUUUAUUUUAGAAUGGAGAUUAAUAAAGCAGACGCGGAAAGGUUUUGAUUAUUUUAAAUAUGUUUAUAUGUUGUUGUUUUCGCAUACUGUCAUGUCAAAAAUAUAUUUAAAGAUAAAUGAAUGAAAGAUUUCAUUGUUUAAUUUGAAUAAAUGUGUUUUAUAAAAUCAACAACUGCCUGUUUUAAGAUCAAUUGAAAAUGCUGUUUUAAUUACUUAAUAUCGAUGACACAGCUUGCAUGUGUAGAUGUGUGUAGAAAUAAUUUGCUGUAGUUUAGGGCAGUUCAAUUUGUUAAUGAGGGAUCUUGUAAUCUUACAAACAUCUGGGAAAGAGCGGCUUACCGUCUUUCUAAGCUCUUCUAAAGAUCUGGGAAAGAGCGGCUCCGCAUCUUUUAAAGCUCUUAUAAAGAUCUGUGAAAGAGCGGCUCCGCAUCUUUUAAAGCUCUUCUAAAGAUCUGUGAAAGAGCGGCUUGCCGUUCUAACAUCUUGUAAAGAUCUGGGAAACGGCGGCUCGCCAUCGUUCUAAAUCACAUACAUCUUGUAAAGAUCUGCUGGGUGUCUUGCAAACAGCUGGGUCGGACGUCUCGGCGACGCCUUCCAGAUGAGCAAACGCCCUAAAUAAUACGUCUUCCAGACGAAAAACAAGACAUCGCGCAGACAUCUCCGCGACGUACGUGUGCUAUCUGGGUAGUUGUUAACUUCUAAUAUUAGCUUAAGUAAAAGUUUUGUCAUUCAGGGUAAUGUUUUGUCAUUCGGUGUAAUGCAAAUUGUAUGUUACACCACAGUGUCAUCCUGAAUGAUAGUGUCACUGUUUAGAUAACAUUUUUAGCAUUUUAUUUCUAUUUCAGAUAAAUGAGGGAUGUUUAGCACAAAAAAAUAUAUCAAACUUUAUCAAUAUUAAUGUUUUAAUGUAUUUUUGUCGUUUUGGCACUGAUUUCUUUUAGAUGCCCACAAACAAAGAGAAAGUUUCUAGGCACUGGCAGAAAGUUAAUGCAGACCCAGUAGCUAGGGCAAUGCAUUUAGCAAGGAGACGAGAAAAGUAUUGAGGAGUGCAAUUAAAAAUAAUAGGGCUGGGUUUAAAAGAUAGAUUUCUCGAUUUUAAUCAAUUCUAAUUUUGAAGAAACAAUAGUGAUUUGUAAAUCCCAAUAAUCAAUCUUUCAGUCUAUGCUGUUUUCAGAUGAUGUUAAUCAAUAUCAAAUUGAUUUGAAAUUGAAUCAAAUCGUGAAAUUUGUGUCCAAGCCUAGCCCUACAGAAUAAUAGUUUACUGCUGUUUUUAGAUAGAGACUCCACCCUACCUAUACCACAAGUUAAAGGGAUAGUUCACCCAAAAAUGAAAAUUUGGUCAUUAUUCACUCACUCUCAUGUUGGUAAAAACCUGUAUGAUUUUUUUUGUUCUGAUAAACACAAAGGAAGAUAUUUUGAGUAAUGUUUGUAACCAAACCGUUCGUGGACCCCAUUUACUUCCAUAGUAUUAUUUUUAGUAUCAUAGUAUGGGGUCCACAAAAGGUUUGGUUACAAACAUUUCUCAAAAUAUCUUCCUUCCAUUUAUGCGGGUUUGAAACAACACGAGAGUGAGUAAAUGAUGACAGAAUUUUCAUUUUUGGGUGAACUAUCCCUUUAAGAGAGGCCACUGAGGGGAUUCUCCGCCCAUAAUACAAAUCCUGAUAACAUGUCAUUUAUGUUGCCAAACAGAAAGUAUUUUUAAUUAAUAACACGUUUUAUAUAGAUCUGUCAAUAAUUUUAUGUCAAUAAUUACAUGGAAUCUGUAUUUCAGCAACCAGAGAAGAAAGCAAGCUGCCUUGGCUGCAAAUCCUGAUCACCUGUCAAUCAGGAAUUUAUCAGAUGCUGCAGCUGAGAAGAGGCGAAAGCAAUGGCGGGAAAAUCAAAGAAAACACAGGGCAGAAGCUAAACGUAUAAGGGCAGUUCUGGAUCUUAUUAUACAGUAUUACCACCUGUUCAGUUAAUUUUUACGAAUAUGAUAUGCAUUAUGGAAUAAAAAUGAUUAUUAAUUUCA
Misgurnus anguillicaudatus (oriental weatherfish) is the source of this 3408-nucleotide non-coding RNA. The record is from RefSeq and is a predicted model, not a curated record. Lineage: Eukaryota; Metazoa; Chordata; Actinopteri; Cypriniformes; Cobitidae.